RNAcentral lists this ribosomal RNA (254 nucleotides) under uncultured prokaryote. Its description in RNAcentral is "partial 16S ribosomal RNA". It matches the Rfam family "Bacterial small subunit ribosomal RNA", at positions 524 to 777 of the family's 1533-position model. The record is from RNAcentral.
UACGGAGGAUCCGAGCGUUAUCCGGAUUUAUUGGGUUUAAAGGGUGCGCAGGUUGUUUGAUAAGUCAGUGGUGAAAGUCUGUCGCUUAACGGUAGGAUUGCCAUUGAUACUGUUGGACUUGAAUAUGGAUGAGGUAGGCGGAAUGUGUAGUGUAGCGGUGAAAUGCAUAGAUAUUACACAGAACACCGAUUGCGAAGGCAGCUUACUAAUCCAUCAUUGACGCUGAGGCACGAAAGCGUGGGGAUCAAACAGGA